UCCGGCUUAUCACCGGCAGUCUCCCUAGAGUUCCCGGCAUCAUCCGCUGGCAACUAAGGACAGGGGUUGCGCUCGUUGCGCCACUUAAGGCAACACCUCACGGCACGAGCUGACGACAGCCAUGCAGCGCCUGUGCAGGCUCCCGAAGGAGCACCGGCUUUCACCGGUUUCACCCUGCAUGUCAAGCCCUGGUAAGGUUCUUCGCGUUGCGUCGAAUUAAUCCACAUCAUCCACCGCUUGUGCGGGUCCCCGUCAAUUCCUUUGAGUUUUAAUCUUGCGACCGUACUCCCCAGGCGGUCGACUUCACGCGUUAGCUGCGUUACCGAAGGAGUUACCCUCCGACAACUAGUCGACAUCGUUUAGGGCGUGGACUAC
This 375-nucleotide unclassified non-coding RNA is filed under the name uncultured bacterium. Its description in RNAcentral is "contains 16S-23S intergenic spacer region". The record is from RNAcentral.